UUCCUGGUGGUCUAGUGGUUAAGAUUUGGCACUUCCACUGCUGCAACCUAGGUUUGAUCCUUGGUCUGGGAG
RNAcentral lists this transfer RNA (72 nucleotides) under Sus scrofa (pig). It matches the Rfam family "tRNA". Rfam says of the family: Transfer RNA (tRNA) molecules are approximately 80 nucleotides in length. Their secondary structure includes four short double-helical elements and three loops (D, anti-codon, and T loops). The record is from Rfam by way of RNAcentral. Lineage: Eukaryota; Metazoa; Chordata; Mammalia; Artiodactyla; Suidae.